RNAcentral lists this ribosomal RNA (253 nucleotides) under uncultured bacterium. RNAcentral's name for it is "partial 16S ribosomal RNA". It matches the Rfam family "Bacterial small subunit ribosomal RNA", at positions 524 to 776 of the family's 1533-position model. The record is from RNAcentral.
UACGAAGGGGGCUAGCGUUGUUCGGAAUUACUGGGCGUAAAGCGCGCGCAGGCGGCUUAGCAAGUCAGGGGUGAAAGCCCGGGGCUCAACCUCGGAACUGCCUUUGAGACUGCUAGGCUCGAGACCGAGAGAGGAGAGUGGAAUUCCCAGUGUAGAGGUGAAAUUCGUAGAUAUUGGGAAGAACACCAGUGGCGAAGGCGGCUCUCUGGCUCGGUACUGACGCUGAGGCGCGAAAGCGUGGGGAGCAAACAGG